UUUGGAUUUUGAAGUUUUACAGAUUAGCAUGACAUGAUAACACUUUGGAUGUAGUUCAACAUGUCUUUUUUCCAUCUAUGGUUGAACCAAAGGCAACCUCCUUCUCGAAAAAAGGUUGAACCACCACUUGACAAGGUGUGGUUGAGUUGUAGGCAUAGUUUAAAAAUGGAACGAACUGUCCGUUUGAAUGGAAAAGACUAAAACCAGCGGGCCCAUCUGUUCAUUAUGUUUAACAGACCGUCCCACCAUUUGAUGGGUGAAACCAGCUGAACCUGGCAGUUUUCUGCAAAAUUGGUCAAUAAACUGGGCAGGUGAACACAAUAAAGCCCCAAAAUUAUAUUGGGAAAAGAGGGAUUGAAAACCCACAAUUGAGUCAUCCGCCGUACCCAAGCCAAUAACCGCUAUGUUAAGGUCAUUUUGAUGUCUAUUAUGAGGAAACAAUGCUAUUUAACCAAUUUCAGUACAAAAUUAGCAUAUACUAUGUACUAUUAAUUAUAUUUUUUAUGAUAAAAACCGUAAAAUGGACCGGUUAACCAGCAGCCUAAUCGGUGAAAACCUGAAUGGAGAGGACCACCGGUUCAAUAACCAUUUCAGGUUUUUUAAACUGUUGUUGUAGGUGACUUCCAUCUACUAGAUGUUGAAAUCCUAGUUUCAAAUAUUUUUCAUGUCGUAUAAAUUCUAAGUCUUUAAAUAAAGAUAUAAGUCCCAUGGUGGUUAAUUACUAAAAAUGAAAGGGAGUGAUAUUUUGUUGCAUCUAAAAAGAGAAGCAAGUAAUGUAUUGGUUUUGAAGUCAAUCCUUUAUCUUUAAAAGUGAACCUAAAUCGUGCUUACCUUGUCAACAUUAUCAUUUAGAGACAACCUCUGUCCUGUCAGUACCUCCGUGAUUAUUAUACCAAGACAAUAGAUAUCAAGCCGGUGUGUGAUUUCACCGUUCCAACAUUCUGGUGCAAAAUAACCCCUGCAUAAUAGACGCGCCCACGCUGAGUAACGGAAUAAAAAUGUGGAACUGUCAGGAGGCUUAGCAAACUUACGGUGUGCCGCAUAUGUUUACAGUAAAAGUUUGGCUCUGCAUUGGACGAAAGCACCUUGAUAGACCAAAAUCAGUAAUUUUUGGUACCAAAUUAUCAUCCAACAAUAUAUUCUCUGGCUUUAGAUCUGAGUGGACAAUAUUAUUUUGAUGAAGAUAAUGUAACCCCUGACAAAUUCCUAUUAUAAUUUGAUACCGGUCUGUCCAGUGAAGUCCGCAAGAUGUACCUACGAAGGAGGAGGAGAGGACAAAGCAAUCCGAAUAUUAUUUGACAUACUUAAAGUCUAUGGAUAGUACGUACGUGGUCAUUAUGUAAAUGAAGAUAGCAUAUACAUAGUGAUAUGUGGGAUACUAACCAAUAUGAAAUUUAACGAUGAACAUAAAGGAUAAAAGAAACUUUGCAACAUAUGAUCCUACCCGUGAUAUACUUACGAAGACUCCCGUUAGGAACAAACUCGAAACAAAGCAACCUUUGUCGUACAUCGGCCAAGACCAAUUUUCCUUCAUACUUUAACAUACUGCCUUGUGUGUCAGCACAAUAUCCCAGAAACCGUACGACAUUUUUGUGCUUCACCAUCAUGAGGCAUUCAACUUCUCGGACGUACUCCUUCUCAUACUCAUAUGUAUUUAACAUCCUUUUCACAGCCACGGGCCUAUUCUCAAGAAUUCCCUACAUUGAGAAGAUGCCUUGUCAGCAACAACUUCAGUUUCCAGAUAAAGUUUGAUUAAAUCCCAAAGCAGCUCAGAGUUACUGUACCUUAUAAACCACCGCAAAUCCACCGGAGCCAAUUUUCUGGUCAGGAGAGAAAUCAUUUGUAAUUUCUUUGAGAAGUGACAGUGGCAGCGGCUUGGGCUCUGCCAUCUCAUCACAUAGCAUGGACUCCAGGUCCCUUGGUGUGAUAAUAGAUCGGCAUUCCAUUUGCAAUUAUAUGUCACGGUACCCCUAAAACAAGAGCAAGCGCAUUAUUUCCCGCCCUUCUUCAUUUGCCGUAGGGAAAGUUGUUUGCUUGACAGCAUAUACGAGUUGUCAAAUCAUAGGCCUACUACUACUUCUGGUUGCAGUCUUGAUUAGCAAAAGAAACACACAAACCAUCUCCCUAAGGUGACCGAGCGUAGGCAACGAGGACGAAUAAGAUCUGAAGAAGUUUCUGGGUCAAGGAAUUUUUUGUGAUUACCUGGCGAGGUGGAGGCCCAGGCUUGAAAUGAUUUCUUCCAGACUAGGACAACGGAUGAUUUCUCAAGCUGUCAAGGAAGACUUCCAGAGAUCAUUUCCAUGUGAGAGAGCAUGGGAGAGUUAUAUUAAGAAACGACUACCUAGUGAACACUUCACUAAUAAGUGCGAUUUUUUUAAGAGCAGGCUCACCGCUACUGCUGGUGCUACUACCAAGGUACCCAUAAGUUUGCUACGGAAGACUUCGCUUUUCCUCGUUGGCUCUGUGCUGCAGCUUCCUAUGAUCGAUGUUGCUGCUGCUCUUCUUCUUCUCUCCUACCUCUACCCGGAGAUGCAAUGGUAGCGAGUGCUAGCUAUUGUAGUGGUUGGUGUAUAGAUCUCCAGGGCUUAUGGCGAUGGUGGUGAGGAGUCACCUCAUUAUAUUUGCUCUCAACAUGUACACCAUUUGCUACAUCCUGUGAACCUCGUCACUUCAACUCACCUUAAUGGAAAGAAUAAAAAUGAUGCGUCCUAAUUAAUUUCCUAGCACAAGUUGGAGGAUCGAACGUAACAUUCAUUCAGAACUCAGUUAAUUGAUUGAAGCUGACUUCUUACUCAGAGCUUACUGGACUGGCUCUAACUUUGGGACAAGGACUAACUGCCUUCUAGUUUAUAAUUGUGUGUCUAGGUCAGUAAUUUGCCAAACGAAAUUUUAGUCAUGCAUCAUAAAAAAGCAUACCACUGAAUUUUUAUAAAAAGAAGUUUAUUUAGAUCACAGUACACGCAAACCCUACCCCUAUGAGCAGCUCCGAUAGACUGCGCCGGCAUAUCAUCUUGAGAUUGACGAAGUGACCAGAGGCGCCUCGUAGUUGAUGGGAACGUCUAUUUCCACUUAAAUAAAUCCAGGAAUAAUGCGAGCACCAGGAUUUGAACCCUGGUGGGCUGGGGAUACCACUGUCCUCCUAACCAUCCGACUAUAAGUUGGUUCGCUAAAAGAAGUUUUUUAUUGCAUAUUUUUCUGAGACAUUUCUUUUUUCUUUUCACGACGGGAGGUCAAGACCCCCCGACCUCUACAUCACCGUGAUGCACACAAUUGUUUUCACUAGAGUUGUUUUCUCGAAACGGAGGUUUGGACCCUCAGCUUGUGCAUAAUUUUGAACACAACUAUUUUCACUAUAGUUAUUUUCUUGAAAGGAAGGUCGUCACCAUUGGCCUCUGCAUCAUUGUGAUACACACAAAUAUUUUUACUAUAGUUGUUUUUUCGAAAGCAAGGUCAAGACCAUUGACUCUGCAUCGUUGUGGUACACACAACCAUUUUCACUACACAGUUGAUGCAAGACAAGGAGGCCAAUGUCAUAUCAUUCUUUUUUUGUUAUUUUUUAAAGGGUCCAGUAUGACAAUGCUAUGUAUGAGCUCAGCAUUCGGUUUUUUAGAAGGAAAGGAUUAGAAACACAACAUCAUAUAGUCUACACGUCUUUCCUUCUAGGUUCAUAGUGCACAUUUGUCCUAGGUUCAGAAAAAGAAAGAAGCAUUCAAUCCAAAUGAAAGCAUAGUAUAUUGCAUCCAUGAAAAUAUUUGCAAAAUAUAACAAAACUCAUUGUUUAAGGCGGCAGCAGGUAUAAUAAUAUUGUGUAGGUUGACUAUAAGAGUUUUUUUUUUGAGAAAGAUGUGCUAUAAAAAAUGCCACAUCAGAUUUAUGAUAAGUUCAGGAGAUAGAUGACUGAUGAUAAGUGUUUUCCCGAUAUAAAACAAAAGUAGGCUACAGAUUUAUAGUCAGCUGCAAUAUGGGCAACAAGCUUUAUAUAUUACUCCUUAUUCUUUCAUCCUCACUAUGGGGAGUUCGACAUAGUAUAAAAAGAUUGUGUAAGUGGAGUAAUAAAGUUAGCCUCUCUAAAGUUAGCCAGGUAUUAGUGACAUACUAGAUACGGAUGUAUCUAAUACUAAAAUGUAACUAGAUACGUCCGUAUCUAGAUAAAUUUAAGACAAGAAUUUUGAGACAGAAGGAGUAGUAUAUUGUGCAUAACUAAACUACUAUUCAGUUAAUUGAGUGCAGAUGAUAUGACAAUGACAUUUAACCACUAGCUAACUCCAUUAUUGGUUAUGCCCGCUGUGUUAACCAUCCUCACUAUGGGGAGUUGGAAUGAAACCACCCGUGGGGCCCAAAGAUUAAUGGAGUCGAGUACAUGACGUUCAGGGCGUCGCUGGGGAGGCUGGCCGGUGAGAUAUUAGGCUGGUCAUAGUGGGGAGUAACUUAGACUAGUGUCAUGCAUAUGACACUAGUCUAAGUUACUACCUUCAUAAUGCAAAGUAACAUAAUAGUAGUAUCAUAGAUGGCUUCAUUUACUAGCUCAUAGACUCAUCUUGUCAUGAAAAGCGCUAUGUUACAGUAACAUAUUAUGUUACUACCUCUCAUUAAUUACUUGCCACAUAAGCAGAAUUCUCUCGAAGAGCGCUAUGUUACUAGCUAAGUUACUCCCACUAUGACCAGCCUUAGAGUCAACAGCAAUUAAACAUGGGUGGGGCUCAAAGAUUAAUGGUGUACUAUGAAAAACUGAGCGUGUGAACUACGCAAAGUAUUCAAAAUGUUUUCGCACAGCUGUACGCGCAGACCACCUAAAAUUAACCAUCGCUUGUGACAUGUUUAUCGAGUAGCCAUUGAAUGACCCCCUUGUCAUCGUGGUGGUAUUAUCAUGGCUGGUCGUGAUUGAUCUGACAUCAAGCCAUUUUGGUCAUUUUCCUGGCCUAAUUUCUAAGAUGUGUUAAAAUACACUCACAUCUGUGACCCAUGGUUAUGGGUACAGGAAAAUUAUCAGAGGUACCGAAAUUAAUAAUUAACUAUAUAGGGAAUUGAAAACCCAAAACUACUAUACUUUGUGACUGCGAAUAAUCAACAUUAAUCAUGGCUAAAGAUUUUUUUUUUCUUUUCUUCUGGUUGCAUCCCUGAGCAACCUGCAUGAGAUUGACCUGAAGAUGCUUCAAAGUAAAUUACAUCAGUGUCUGGCACAUGGUUUGCCUUCGCCAGUUGUUUGUGGCUGGAUGCAUCUCACUAUUUCCAUACAGUAUCUUGUAUUAAUGAUACAUCUGUUGCCACAGCGCCCAAGAUAAUACAUAUAUCCACAUCAAAUUCGUGGCCAACAAAAUGAGAAUAAAAAAAUAAAAAGUUUCACCAUAUAAACAGAAGGAUCCGGUUGGACAUAAAAACUUGGUACAUAUAGAAAACUAUUAUAUGGAUGGGCAACUAGAUUGACUACUGAUGAUAUAUUGAGAUAGCGCCAAAACAGACUCUAUUAUUGGCUGUGGUCGCUGUGUUAGCCCUGCUCAUCGUGGUGGGUUCAUGACUUGGAAUAGGGAAGUUUGGACAUGAAGGGGCCUGUGGGGUUCUAUAGCUAAUGGAGUUCAUUGCAUGGCUGUACGAACACGUCCGAGGAGGCUGUCAACCUGUCUGGCAAGAUAAUAGAGUGCCCAUCAAUCAAACAUGGGUGGGGUUCAAAUCAAAAAUUAAUGGAUGGACUACCUGUGCGGUUGGCCAGGUUGAUGUGAGUAAUGUGAACUGACAGGGCGGCCGGAGGACCAAACCAUGAACCAUGAACGCACAAGUCUUUCAUUAACUUUACACAACUGCAUGUGCAGACCACCAAACAGGGCGCCUCAGCUGUAUGUCAUAUAUCUUAAACUAGCUAGCUUACCUCGCCAGUGUGCACAUUCGUGCUUUUUUUUCUCUUUGAACAGUGAAGGGCACCGAAGGACGCAGAACUUCAUUAUUCAAAGCGGUGCGCAACACGUCUUACAAACAGGACUCCAAAGAAACUGAAAAUUAUAGGCAAGUCCCUGAUAGUUAUGAAAAGGACCCUGAAACUGAAAAGAAAAGGUGAUCGGGUCCAAACUGCUCUCCAGUGGAUCCAAUCAUCGCCAGUUUGGACAUGAAGGGGGCUGUGGGGUUCAAUAACUAAUCGAGUUCAUGCAUGGCUGUAGGAACACGUCCGAGGAGGCUGUCAACCUGUCUGGCAAGAUAAUAGAGUGCCCAUCAAUCAAACAUGGGUGGGGUUCAAAUCAAAAAUUAAUGGAUGGACUACCUGUGCGGUUGGCCAGGUUGAUGUGAGUAAUGUGAACUGACAUGGCGGCCGGAGGACCAAACCAUGAACCAUGAACGCACAAGUCUUUCAUUAACUUUACAGAAUUGCAUGUGCGGACCACCAAGCAUUUCGCCUCAGCUGUAUGUCAUAAAUCCAACUACUCCCACAUGUAGUAUCGAGUAGCCUCCUUGUGACCCCAUUGUCGCCAUUUAUUCUACUAUUAUAGCAGGUCGUGAUUGAUCUCAACUCUAGACCAACUCGUGAACGCUCGAGUCUUUCGUUAACUUUACACAACUGCAUGAGUAAUGACCCAUUGAUUCUGAUUAAGCUGAUAUGCUAUUGGAUCAUGGGCUGGUCGAUUUUGCACAUAAAGGAGGAGCUAAGAGAGACGCUGAUGCUAUAGGGACAAAACUGCUAAAACAUGUAGCAAGUGAGAUCUACGGAGNNNNNNNNNNNNNNNNNNNNNNNNNNNNNNNNNNNNNNNNNNNNNNNNNNNNNNNNNNNNNNNNNNNNNNNNNNNNNNNNNNNNNNNNNNNNNNNNNNNNNNNNNNNNNNNNNNNNNNNNNNNNNNNNNNNNNNNNNNNNNNNNNNNNNNNNNNNNNNNNNNNNNNNNNNNNNNNNNNNNNNNNNNNNNNNNNNNNNNNNNNNNNNNNNNNNNNNNNNNNNNNNNNNNNNNNNNNNNNNNNNNNNNNNNNNNNNNNNNNNNNNNNNNNNNNNNNNNNNNNNNNNNNNNNNNNNNNNNNNNNNNNNNNNNNNNNNNNNNNNNNNNGACAAGAUAAUAGUAACUGAAUGUUAAACAUAUAUGUGGGGCUCCCCCCCCCCCGGUACAUAAUGUGUAGGUGAACUAACAGGUGGUGUGAACUUUUUUUUCGAGAAAGGGUGGAUUUUAUAGGCUCAAAUGGAGCAUCAAGAUGAUACAUCACACUCAACACACACACGGCCUCUGCAUAACUAAGAUGCACACAGCCAACCCAACGCGCACACACACAGAAACACACUGUCAACUAGCGAUGUCAUAAAACCAAAAGCUAUGUGCAGGUGUGGAAAAGGGAAAAAAGAAACAAGAAAUAAGCCCCAAAGCGAUUAGAUGAACGAUCGAAAAAUACAACUAAGACCAUAUCCGCACAAACCAUUGACAAGGAUCUUCAACAACAACGUCUUCACGAAGGAAGCGACACUCAAGCGACGCCGUCACCGGAUCCAACCACAAAGGUCAGUUUCAUAGUUUUUACCCCGAAGAAUCAUUCCGAACAUAUCCGAGCAAUGCCUCCAACAAGGUAACGACAUAAAAAAAACAUCGCCAUUGCCAGGAAUAACCACUCGGGUCUCUCCUAGGCUUUCGCCCCGGAGCUCGAGACCAGGCGCACAUAGCACCACCAUCCAAAUCUCACAUGUGUUGUCUCCACCGCUUUUCCACUAUCCGAGCAGCUACAAUUGGAUCGCCACUACUCCACAAACAACCUUCUGCAUCAAGUCAUUGUCCAUAAUUUGGAACCCACCACUGAAGUCAACCACCGGAUCAGGAGAUAAAACCUUCCGAAGUCUUUUUGGUGAUGUCGUGGAUCCGUAUGAAGUCGAUGCAGAACAAUCUACAUAUGCCACCAUCCGGCCAAUCGGAUCUAAAUCACCUCAUUCAUCCAGCACAUCACCGCAGCCCCAACAAUCCACGGACUACGUGGCCGGAGCAAUGCCAAGACCACCGUUGCCUCAACGACCACCACGUCGGAGCCACCACCACAAAUCGAGGGAGGUGGGCGCUACCAUAGACGAGGGCCGCCAUGCAUGAGGCAUAUUUGUGACUGGCCGUAGCUAGGUCGGAUCUUGGAAGACGUCAGGUGCAGCUUAUGGGGAAACAGAUCACCGCCACCAUGGCCACUGCCAGUCCGCGACUGCAUCUGACACCAGCCACCGCAGACCACGACUCCAUCUUAGGGAGGAGGUCAGGGGCGCGUGCAGCAGGCUAGGGGAUCAAUUUGCCCCGUCGCCACCAUCCGCCAUCGCAGGACCUUGCCGCCACCGCAGGUCUGCCCCAGCGCCGCCCACAUCGCCACCUUGGUAGCACCACCACCAGCACUAGGGCCCCCGCCCUUGCUCCCAAGAUCCGCUGCCUACAUGCUUCAUUUGGGGCCGCCGUGCCUUGCCGGCUGGAGCGCACCCCGCGCGAGGGAUCUCAGCGCGAGAAGACAUCCCCGCCACCUCCGUCGGCCAACCGGGCUUUGCCUGCUGGUGUCCUCCGGCGGCGGCGGGGGAGCUGAUGGAGAGGACGGGGUCGGCGGCGGCGGCGGCUUGGGUUUCCGCCCUCCCCCUCCCCCCUCCCCGUGAGCGAUGCGAGCGGUUCAACACCUAUAAGGUGGUGUGAACUACACGCAACUCUUCAUUAAUUUCACACAACAGUAUGUGCAGACACCUAACAUUUCGUCACAGCUGCAUGUCAUAAGACUACCCAUAGUGGGAAUAACAUAGGUGGUAACAUCAGACAUCUCUAGGCAAAAUAGAUGAUGUGGUGAGUAAUUAAUGAGCAAAGAGAGGCAUGUGGUAACAAAGCUAGUUACUAUAACAUCACACAUACCAAGAUAAGAUGAGUCUAUAACCUAAUAAAUGAAAUGUUGCAUGACAGCUCACAUAUGUUACUCCCCACUAUAGUGGUAGUAACAUAGACUAGUAACAUGCACCCAUUGUGACUAGUCUAACCCCCCCGCUUGUUAAAUGUUUAUCGUCCCAGCUUGUCAUUGUUGUGGUACUAUUAUGGCGACGGUGGUGCUCUCGUGGUGGUGAUGGUGUUCCUUCUGGUGCAGGUUCUGCAGCGCGCCGUAGCUAGUGCCACUCAUCUGGUCCAUGACAAACGCGCCAUGCGACCGCACCAUGUUGCCCGAGUUGGCCAUGGAGGUGGGCCAGUGCGCGGACAUGGGCUCCCUCUUGGUCGGGUCUGGUGCGGUGGUGGUGAAGAUGGAUCUAGGGGAGGCGUUUCUAGCAGGAGGAAGGGUGGAGGAAUGCGUUGGAGAGGAGCUGCUCAUGGCUGAUGCUGCCUGGAUUGAAGGAGGACAUGCACCGAUUCGGCCUCGUGAAGAUAGAAGCACGACGGCGACGGCCAAGAGAAAAUCCAUCUUGGAGGUCAUCGGCGGCCUUCUCUGGGGAGGAGCUCACUGCCGCCAGCAAACUUCACGCGGCCAUCCUUGCCAUCGUCCAUGUCAUAGCGGAGGACCACGGCGAGGCACACAUCGGCCCAUGUUCGGCAACGCCAUUGGCCACCCACGUCCAGAUCAGUAUCGGGGAGGAUCAACUCCUACACCGGGAAGUAGGACUGUGCACCGUGAAGACCACCACCAUCAACUAGGCUCCGGUUCUCGCUCGUCAUCGUCCUCUUCUGCGGAGAGGAGGAGGAACGAGAAAAAAGUGGGGGCAGGUGGGAGGAGAGAAGGGAUUUGUUUGGCUGCCGGCUACCUCUUGAGCAUGCGUUGGUUUUCCCUUGAAGAGGAAAGGGUGAUGCAGCAAAGUAGCGUAAGUAUUUCCCUCAGUUUUGAGAACCAAUGUAUCAAUCCAGUAGGAGGCUACACGCAAAUGCCUCGUACCUACACAAACAAAUAAGAACCUUGCAACCAGCGCGAUAAAGGGGUUGUCAAUCCCUUCACGGCCACUUGCAAAAAUGAGAUAUGAUAGAGACAAUAAACAUUUUUGGUAUUUUUAUGAUAUAGAUUGGAAAGUAAAGAUUGCAAAAUAAAAUAGAUCGGAAACUUAUAUGAUCGAAAAUAGACCUAGGGGCCAUAGGUUUCACUAGUGGCUUCUCUCAAGAUAGCAUAAGUAUUAUGGUGGGUGAACAAAUUACUGUCGAGCAAUUGAUAGAAAAGUGCAUAGUUAUGAGAAUGUCUAGGCAUGAUCAUGUAUAUAGGCAUCACGUCCGCGACAAGUAGAUCGAAACGAUUCUGCAUCUACCAGUAUUACUCCACACAUCGACUGCUAUCCAGCAUGCAUCUAGAGUAUUAAGUUCAUAAGAACAGAGGAACACAUUAGGCAAGAUGACAUGAUGUAGAGGGAUAAACUCAAGCAAUAUGAUAUAAACCCCAUAUUUUUAUCAUCGAUGGCAACAAUACAAUACGUGCCUUGUUGCCCCUGCUGUCACUGGGAAAUGACACCGCAAGAUUGAACCCAAAGCUAAGCACUUAUCUCAUUGCAAGAAAGAUCAAUCUAGUAGGCCAAACCAAACUGAUAAUUCAAAGAGACUUGCAAAGAUAAGAAAUCAUACAUAAAAGAAUUCAGAGGAGAUUCAAAUAUUGUUCAUUGAUAAUCUUGAUCAUAAACCCACAAUUAUUCGGAUCUCUACAAACACACCACAAAAAGAAUCACAUCGAAUAGAUCUCCAAGAAGAUCGAGGAGAACUUUGUAUUGAGAUGAAAAGAGAGAGAAGAAGCCAUCUAGCUAAUAACUAAACCCGAAGGUCUGUGGUAAACUACCCACACUUCAUCGGAGAGGAUAUGGUGUUGAUGUAGAAGCCCUCCAUGAUCGAUUCCCCCUCCGGUGGAGCGCCGGAUAAGGCCCCAAGAUGGGAUCUCAUGGGUGCAGAAGGUUGCGGCGGUGGAAAUAGGGUUUCGUGGUGCUCCUGGAUGUUUUCAGGGUAUAUGAGUAUAUAUAGGCGAAGGAAGUCGGUCAGGCAAGCCACGAGGGGCCCACGAGGGUGGGGUGCAUGCCCACCCCCUUGGGCGUGCCUCCCUGCCUUGUGGCCGCCUCGUUUCUUUCUUAACGCCCACUCCAAGUCUCCUGGAUUGUGUUUAUUCCAAAAAUAACUCUUCCGAAGGUUUCAUUCCGUUUAAACUCCGUUUCAUAUUCCUUUUCUGUGAAACACUGAAAUAGGCAAAAAACGGCAAUUUGGACUGGGCCUCCGGUUAGUAGGUUAGUCCCAAAAAAAUAAUAUAAAAGUUCUUAGUAAAUCCCAUUAAACAUCCAAAACAGGUAAUAUAAUAUCAUGAAACAAUAAAAAAUUAUAGAUACGUUGGAGACGUAUCAAGCAUCCCCAAGCUUAAUUCCUGCUCAUCCUCGAAUAGAUAAAUGAUAAAAACAGAUUUUUUGAUGUGGAAUGCUACCUUGCAUAUUUUCAAUGUAAUUUUCUUUAUUGUGGCAUGAAUGUUCAGAUCCAAAAGAUUCAAGAUAAAAGUUUAAUAUUGACAUAAAAAUAGUAAUACUUCAAGCAUAAUAACAAAGUAAUCAUGUCUUAUCAAAAUAACAUAGCCAAAGAAAGCUUAUCCCUACAAAAUCAUAAAGUUUGGUCAUGCUUCAUUUUCGUCACAUAAAAUACUCCCAUCAUGCACAACCCCGGUUUCAGCCAAGCAAUUGGUUCAUACUUUUUAACGCGGUUCAACUUUUUCAACCCUCACGCAAUACAUGAGCGUAAGCCAUGGAUAUAGCACUAUGGGUGAAGUAGAGUAUGAUGAUAGGGAUUGUGUGAGAAUACAAAAAAGGAUAAAGUUUCACAUUGACGCGGCUAAUCAACGAGCUAUGGAGAUGCCCAUCAAUUGAUGUCAAUGCGAGGAGUAGGGAUUGCCAUGCAACGGAUGCACUAGACCUAUAAAUGUAUGAAAGCUCAACAAAAGAAACUAAGUGAGUGUGCAUCCAACUUGCUUGCUCACGAAGACCUAGGGCAUUUUUAGGAAGCUCAUCAUUGGAAUAUACAAGCCAAGUUCUAUAAUGAAAAACUGCCACUAGUAUAUGAAAGUGAAAACAUAGGAGACUCUCUAUCAUGAAGAUCAUGGUGCUACUUUGAAGCACAAGUUUGGAAAAAGGAUAGUAACAUUGUCCCUUCUCUCUUUUUCUCACAUUUUUUUCUCUUUUUUUCCUUUUUUUAUUUUGAUGGGCUUCUUUGGCCUCUUUUUUUUAUUUGGGCUUCUUUGGCCUUUUUUAUUUGGGAGAUACUGGACGCAGCAAGAGGACUCUUGACAAGUUACGAGGAUGUUGUAGCCACAGGCCAGGGUGCAUGUCUGUAGACGAACGAAACACGUCGUUAUUGUUGUCGUCAUUAGUUUAGACACUAGACUGGAUCCAAACUGACUCUUCAUGCGACAUGGAGCAAUGUAUCACAUCGAUCACAGGUAGGUGUUGAUAGACAGGUCGACCAACCAACCACGGCAAAAUUGUUGGAACUUCUUGCACAAGAUUACUAUUUAGGGGAACUUAAGGAAUAAGUUUUCAUAAUAAUUUUGACAGGGUCACUAGUUUAUCAGCUCGUGCACCCUCACAUGGUGUCUUCUUUGAAGGUGUCGAACCCUUAGUAGGAGAGAAUCUUGAGCGAAAACGAGCCAAAGAUGGACACUCUAUUUUCAACAUCGAGUCAACCUCGUGACUUCGACUCACUUUUUUUUCGAGAAGGAGGAUGACCCUGCCCUCUGCAUCUGGGAGAUGCAUACGGUCAUUUUAUUGAUUAUUCUCGAGAACCUUACAAAGUAUAACAACAAUAUGCCUGAAUCCGCCAUCUUGGCAGUAUCUGCCACUACUCCUAUCCAAAUGAUGAAGGGGUGCAACCUGGGCCACAUACCCAUACCUCUCACCUAAGCCUAACAUCUAAAGCCGGAGGCCCCGACCGAGCCAUCUGCCGGGUACGGGGCUCAAACAGGUCUGACGCACUCACAUGUUUCGCCGCCGCCAUCUUCCACUAGUCCAUCUUCAAAGCAGAUUGAGGUGACAACCUUGGCAGGUCAUCCGCCAUCAAUGCCACCACGACGCCAAACGACGACCUCCACCUACACGAGCCUUGGCAGGUCCUCCGCCAUUGACGCCACCACGACGCCAGCCGACAACCUUCACCUACGCGAGUCCAUCUCCAAGCAACGGACGUGAAUCCAUGAUAGGAAAGGGUUGCACCACCGCCGUCUCCCACCACCCACAAGCGCCACCCAACCCCAAGGUUCCCAAAGCGGCGCCUUCAAGAAGGGAACGACGUCGUGAGCACCGCCGUCGCCCAACAGAGUUAGGGCUUUCGCCCGGGAGACCUAGGGGGAGGUUUAGUGAGGAGAUCAGUCCAUACCGACGCCUCCAGGAAGGGAAACAACGCCCUCAGGCGUCGCAGUUGGCGCAGCCGGUGAUGGCCGGCCCGGGAUUUCGCCCGAACUAGAUCUCCACCACCAGCAGCACCACAUGUACAGAACCGGCGACCGAGAGGAAGCACGGCCCGACCAGACUGGCCCGCACGCUGAACAUGGGAGGAAGGGAGGCGCCAGAUCGCGCACACCGACCGCCGCAGAAGCCGCCGCCGGCCGCCAACGACCAUCAGAUCCCGUCGCCCGCGUGGUCAGGACACCAGAUCCACCACCCGCACGGCUGUUAGCCGGCCGUGCCUUGCCAAUGGAGCCGCCGCUCCAGAUCCGGGGUUCCCCGCACAGAAGCAGGGCAACCGAGGCCUCGCCGCCACCAUCUUUGGCGUCCCGGGCUUGCCCGGCGGCUGCCUCAGGAGGCGGCGAGGGAGGGGGUUCGGAGGAGGGGCAGCUAGGGUUCGGAGGAGGAGGCAGCUAGGGUUGGGAGGAGGAGGCGGCUAGCUCCUGGAAUUUUCACAUGUAUAGAUUCACGCCUGACUUCGACUCACUUGAAAGGCAAGAAGAUGGAAAAGGACUAUGCAUCUUAAUUUCCAAGAAACAACUAUAUUAACUUAGCCAGUAGGCAAGAUGCAGUAUAACUUAGCUUUCUUUCAGAAAUUUUGACAUCCAAUUCAUUGAGUGAAACUGAAACCUUACCUCCACACCUCACGGAACCACCUAGCUAGUAGUAGGACAUUUCUGGCCGCUAGAAAAAUAGGCCUUGUCACAAGUUCAUCAGCAGAUGUUCGAGUAGUACAGUACGUUGCUCUUUGUGAGGGCACGCUAACAUCAAUGCUGUUUCCAUACAGCCGUCAUUGGCCGUUGUCGUGAUCCUUCUGCUCAGUCGUAUCUAAAACACAUCUAAACUUGGCCUAAUUCCAGUAGGAAAUUCAGGUGGGGAAAUCGAGGAGAAAGUACUAUUUCUAACCAUUUUGUGAGGAUUAUCGAUGGAUUUCUUGACAUUGCCGAGAAAUGACAAACAAAUAGAAAACGGUCGAUGAAGAUACAUUUCCACCAAGAUUAGGCCAGUUCCCCACCCAGGCUUCAGUUCUGAAUCUCCAUCGGCGGCGGGCAGAAGCUUCAGUUUCAGCUGGCAGUGCAAAUGAUCUUUCCAUCAUGCUGAAUUCAAAAUGGGAAGUACGUACGACCACCAAUGGAAAGUUGUAGCGAACAAAGAGCCAGCAAACAAAAAUAAAAGCUUGGCUUUUGCUGACAAAUAAGCAAGAGAGGCCUGAAUUAUCCAACUCCUUGGCAUGCAUUACACAGUGCACUGAUUAAAUAGCAUUCACCAAUCAAAUUAAACGGUACUGCCCACAUUAUUACAGAUCAGAAAUAGUACUGAAUAGUAUACAGAAUUCUCUCACACUCACUCACAAAUAGUCAUAUGAAACACUAGUCGGCCAUACACGUCUGGUGCACAUUGAAAAUCACAGUGCACAAUAAAACAAGCACAUGGAAAGUAAGAACAAAUCCUGAUGGCUCCACAUUCCUAGCCAACCUUCUCUUCUUUCUUCUCUUUUUUUGCGGGAAAAUCUAACUAGAAUUUUCUUCUGAGGCUAGCAAAUGGAUGAAAAAACAUAACAAAAGUUAGUAGCAGAUCAUCAUGACACAGCCCAUUUUUCAUGAUACAAAAAAAAGAAUGUAGAAAACAGGAUUACAGUCUUACAUGCUGGGUCUUCAAAUCUUUGGUCGGGGAUGUGCUUGAUCUUCUGCCAAUUUGGAUGUCUGACUGUUUGACACGACUUCGUGAACUCACCACUGCAGUAUGCAACACAAAACUUCUCAAGAGAACGGGGCAGUGUUGGAAGCGACCGGAUAUUCAAGCACCCUUCGAUUUGUAGUUCCUUGAGCGAUGUAAGGUGCUCCAUAUUGCCUGGUAAGGCAUCCCAGUUGCACCGACCAAGCCAGAGCACACGAAGAUGAAUGAAAGUCACAAGUUCAGGACCAGGUCCCGGUUGGCUCCAUCCACCCAAGACAAGUUUUUUCAGGUUCUUUGGGCCACCUUUCUGCUUAUCCACCAUCCAAUCUGGGUACCUCAAGCUUUCAUAUUCUGCAAUAAUCAGUUCUUCGAUACCAACAGGAGGGCACAGGCCCUCAAGCACCUCUGCUUCAACUUCUGAGCUGCACCUUGUACCAUCAUCACCCCAUUCCAACUUCAGUUCCUUCAACCGAUCCUUGGCACCAAGAUUGGCUUCAACAGCUUCCUCCUUGCUUUUAACAUUUUCAAGGCCAUUGAUUGUCAGGCUGCCGCGAAGCUUGUUUAGGUCCCUAAGCUGCUUUAUCUCAUAACCCUGCUCAUUCCUUACUGUGAACCUGCUGCUUGGUAACGCUUGGAGUGAGAUAAGCCUGCCUAUGCUCGGACAUUCCAAGUUCUCACAAAUUAUGUACCGCAGGUUGAUAAGGUUAUCAAGUGUAAAUUCCCAAAUUUGGCCAUGGCCAUGACGACCAAAGUCCAGCAGCUGGAUAUGGUGAAGUUUCUUAGUUAGUGUGCUUGGUAAAAUUACGGUGCAUUCGAAUGUCCUGAAAGAAAGAUAGCAUAGGUCCUUUAACUGGCCAAUGGAUUCUGGGAUCGAGAACUUCUUGGGUUUGGUGAUUUCAAGAUGUUCCCGGCUAAAAGCAACCGCCAGUACCUGCAAUUUUUGCAGCCGCUUGCAUAUAUUGUCAAUGACGUUUUCCUCAACUGUAGUACCCUUUUCAACAACAUAAAUUAUGAGUGUUUGUAAAUUUUCCAAUCCAAGGAUCUUUUCAGUAAUCAAUUCUCCAUCAUAAUUCUCUACAAGAAGAUGGCAGACGUCUUGGGGAACAUCUCCUUUCCAUCCUUCUCCUCUCUGACUCCUUGCAUUCUCGAUUCUGAAGCAUUCCGUUCCACUAAUCUUGUCUAAUAAAUCAUGCAACAAGUCAGGAAUUGUAAACCAAUCAGGCCAUUCUCCUCCUUGCUGAAGAAAUGAGCAUGACACUAACUCCUGAAAAUAACUCUCAGCUAUAUCUUCCAUGUCCUCCGUUGCACAACUGGUCUUUAUAAACCCUUGUGCUACCCACAAGCGAACUAACACAUCCCUUCUUAACUUGGAUCUCUUGGGGAAAAUACUGCAAUAUUUGAAGCUUCGCUGGAGAUCUGGAUUAAGUUGUUGAUACCUCAACCAAAGAGCACCCAUGGUCUCAUUCAAUAUUUCCGGAUUAAACUGCUGAUAAUAACAUGGAAUUAGCACUUUGGAUGAAUAAUAUAGUGAUAUUUGUCUAUGGAACAUAAAUUUAUAAUUUAAUUUAGAAUGCUUGCAUGGCAUUAGUAUGUAAAAUAUGGGUGCAACCAAAUGUUCCCAAGAGUCCAAAAACAAAUACGUUUUACAUAGAUACAAAUUUGUGCUCAUUUCGUGGGUGCAAACUUUCACGACAAUAUGAACUAUUUUGAACUGAAAAGAAAAAAAAAUAUGUUUAAAAAAAAGAACUUUCGUGAAACAUUUCUAUCUACAGAAUAUUUAUGUUGUAAAUAGGGAAAACUUUGUUUUUGCCACUCUAGGUUUUGACCACUUUGCUUAUGCCACUCUAGAAUUUGACAUUUCACUUUUGCCACUCUUAGUUUUUGAUAAUACAUCACAAUUGCCAUUCUGUGGCAAAAUCAAUAAUUUAAGAGUGGCAAUUGUGAUACAUUGUCAAAAUAUCUUAAUAUACCCAUGAUCAAUAGACGGCCCAAAUAAAAAAAACUCAUAGGAGGUUGAUAAUCUAUCACCGACUCCGGCCAUAUCUAUGCACCGAAGGUAUGUGGUUUUGGGCCAUUGGAUGGGAAAGUGUCCCGCAAGAUUCAUGAAUAAGUUGGGAUAUAUCAUAUUUGUAGCAAUAGCCUUGUAUUGUACGAAAAUCUACCUGCACUUUAGCCCUUCGGGUUCCUGGUUUCUACUAUUGUUGCAAAAUAAUCGUUUAAUUCUCACCCAUAGUCCAUUUAAGAAAAUUAACCCGAGAUUUUAUCUCAUCUAAAAUUUAAUAAAACUUAAAUGAGUUUCACCAUCAAGUUUCAUAUCCAAAACAUGAUGAAACUGAUCACGAAAAAAAAACAAGUUAAAUUUGAUGAAUCUUAGUUUUAUAUAUCAACCGUAGUUUAGAAAAAUUGCCACAAACUGUGGUGCAAGUUGAUUUUAAUUAAAUACAAGCUUUUUAAAAAAAUAUGUCAGUUGUCAAUUGAUCAUGUCCAUCACUUCAUCAUCCAAUGGUUGCUAAUGUAUGUGUGCAUCUGAUAAACAAAUUCACUUGGUGAACUAGAUAUUGUCACAAAGAGGAAAGUAGGACAUCUUAAAAAUGCUCAAAACAUAAAUACAUUAACAUUAUAUUGUUUCAAAUGUCUCACCAUGACAAACAUAUAGGUUCAACUUAGUCGUGUAUCCAACAUUGUUAAUUUUUAUUAUUAGCUAUUGAGGUUUCUUAGCUCGUUCUUUAGGAUGACGUCUAAUUCUUAAUAGAUGCAGUAAUGAUGUAUUCAAUAAGUUUGUAAAUAGAUAUUUUCACAUAAAUACGUUGGUAGAAAACAAUUAUUUAUUUUACUAUUAAUAAAACCAUGGUGAAUCUAACAACAUUAUUUUAUUCUAGUGCUUCUAUUUGUUUGGCCUACUUUUGUUUUCAAAGUCUUAGAGGUCAUGAGGGUAUUAGAGCUUGUCUCUCCUAGCGCAUUAGGUGUAUCAUGGUACCGCUCAUUUGUAGCAUUUUUGGCCUGUUCAAAUAACCAAUUAAGUAUAUUUCACUUCAACUACUGGAUUGUAGCAAUAAAAGCGCAAAUGGAGAUGCUUCUAUGUACACAAACUCUCAAGAUUAUGUUUUGUGGGAGGUAUGUCCUCCACGCGAGUGAUUUACCUGCUGUGAAGUAAUCAUGCUAUUUUCAAUAUAUCCAUUUAUAGUUUCUCUUCCAUCAAGGACACUGAUAAUAUGUUGUGUAUCUGGUCUCCUUGCCGGGUUGAACUCCAUGCACUUCAUUGCAAUCUCAGCACAUACUCGUACCUGUUCCAGUUGUACAUCCCGUUGUGGUUUCUCCAAUAUGGCACUCCAACUUUCAACUACCUAUGAAUUAUAUUAGUGUAUUAUUAAAACAAGAGACAUCUUAUGCAACACAAAAUUAAUGUAUGUAGUAGUACAUAUAUACGAGGCCCAUAAAUUAUGUUACCAGCUGAUACAAAACCCCAUCAGAUAACACUUCGAACUACCAAACAAAAAUUCCCCAAGAACUUAAUUAAGGUGCGCUCUGGUUUCUUCUCACAUGGUAUCAACUGAAUUAAUAAAAAAUAUGCAUCCCAUGAAAUCUGCCAUGUCAUGUGAGGGUAAUGGAAUUGCAAGGACAUAAUUUUCAUCAACUAGACUUAAUGUUUGUCUAACCAACUCUUCAUCCCAUUGUCCUGUAGAUCGAUCAGUAAUGUCACAAACUUAUGAAAAAGUUGUCCACCCCUUGGAGUAAUCAACUUUCUGCUAUUGCAAUUAGGUAUCCAUGCAUCAUCCCAAAUGCUAUUUUUUACCAUCGCCAACUCUCCAAAUAUAUCCUCGAGCCUAACAAAGAGUGGUACUUUCUCUGUCGUUUCGGCUUAUACCAUGCCAAAUGGGAUCAUCGAUUGGUAGGAGAGGCGAUGGCACGGGAGAGAAGCAAAGUCAAUCAAUAAUAUAUGGCGUACAAUUUGGCAAAAUGAUGUGCCUAGCUAAGGUAAAAAAUGCAUAUGACAUGCUCUGCAUGGAAAUCUUCUAGGUCAUGUUACUCUAGCAAACCAGCAUAUUAAGGUUCUUCCACAAUGAUGGCAUGUAAUCAAGGAGCAUCAUAGGCUUGCCCAUGAGUAGAAGACAUACAAGAUAACGUAGAUAGCUAUGGUUGUACAUGUGGUAACAUAAAAGUAUGAUGUAGCUAUUAUACCCCAAGGCUCAAGUGAUUAAAGGUCGAUGGUCGAGGCCCCCUCAUGGCAUGAUUAAUCUUAAUGUCGAUGAUGCUUUCGAUAAGGACAUGCUACACUGAGCAGCAGGUGUAGUUUUGAGAGAUUCCAGGAGCUUUCAUUGUGGUGGAAACCUAAAGAUUGACAUGUGUAGUAAUGCACUAACAACAGAGGCAAUGACGUUGCGCUUUGGAUUACAACUUAAACAGAAAAUGGGUUGCAACAAAAUGGUCACAAUCUCCUACAAUUCUAAGGUAAUUGAGACCAUGAUCAAUGGCGGAAGAACCUCAGGUCCUGUAGGGCAUACUUUUAUACGAUAGUUUCCAUAUCUUAUACGAAUUUCCACGAACACUGGGUGAACAUUGUAAUAGAGAACCCAAUUAUGUGUCACAUGUAUAAGCUAAGAUGGCGAUAUCGUCAGUGUGAAGAUCCCUUCUUUGACCAAUGAUGUAGCAGUUAUCACUAUCUAAUGAAUACAGAUACAAGGUAAAAAAAUAUGCAUCAAAAUUCAGGUUAUAGAUAACUUGGGCAUCGGUGAUGAAAUGGUACAACCACUCUCCCGCAGAAAUAAGCUAAGCAUUAUUGUUCUUACAUGUGCGGAUAUGCAAAUUGACACUUUCUCCUUCACAAAACGAAUUUGUAUAGAAGGUAUUUAUUCUAAAAAAUAUUACUCAUCAAACUAUAUAUUUUUGUUGGAUUUUAUUCAUGUUUUAAAUAUAUUUUCAUCACUAAGUAUCAAUAGUCCCUCCGUAAGGAGCAUUCUCAUUUUUAUUCCAUUUGUAAAUCAUGGUGUUAGACCAAUGCAUAAAAGUUGAACAUAAAUGUUUGAAAGUGCAUAUUCGCACCUAAGUAUGUUUUAUUUUGAUGACGACAAACUAAAGGGACUAAUAAGAUGGCUAUGUGUAUGAGCAGGUUUUACUCCCAUGAGCGAGUGGUGUCGAGGAUCGAUGACCCCUUAAAACUAAAGGGCUCAAGGAGGAAUUUCCGGCAAGCAUGUCCACCACUUACCGGGGCUCGACCGCUUGCAUGGAUAGGAGAUGGGUAGAAGAAUGGAACUCGCUCACUACAAUGCCAUGAACUCUGUCCAUUGCGACAUCAUGUCUUAAUAGGAAUGAUAGAAUACCACAUCAAUGAAGUGUAACAUCUAUUCACGAGGUUGGUAUCCAAAGAACCUCUAUGUUAGGUGUGCUGGUCCUCCGACCAAACUUGUUGUCGGGUGCGCCACGAGUGAGGUCAAAGUGUGCAGCAAAGAAAAGUGUUGGUCUAUGGUGCCAGUCUAUGUCCCAGGUGGUAUCCUGGUAUAAUGGACGUGAACUGGUUGUUAUGUUGGGUGUUAUACCCACCCUCAUCUUCCUAGAGCUGGGUUUCCAUGUUGGACUAGGGGAACGGUGGAAAUGCCAAGAUCGUUUCUGACUCACACAAACCAUAUUCCCCGGUGGGCUUUGUGGUUAAAAGAUCAAAUUUAGGAAGAAGAGAAGGAGCGGAAAGAAAAUAUGCUCAAGAUAAUCCUUGCCAGUCGGCGUUGAGGUGUCUGAUUACAAAUCACCACCCACAAUAUAAACUUUGGAGCCGCAGAGGACGAAGCCCAGCUAGAGCAAGAUAGUUGAGAGGCCACAAAGGUACCCAUACUUCGUAGUAUGUUCGUACGUGACCUGGUGCUACAUGAUCGGACCCUUCCUUCCCUAGGAGAGGAUAAAAAAUCAUGGCCCUUCAUCCAUUCUCUAGAGUCAACUUAUACAUUAGCCAUGCGUUACCGACUUAGAUUGGAAUCAAUUAUCACAUGUGCUUACCUCUCACACAAGAUACCAUUUCCAUCAACCCAAAGUCCAAUGCCAAAUGGGAAGGAAAAAUCUAGGUUAAUAUGCAAUUUUAGUGUUGGCCGGAGCAUCAUUGCAUGAAACUUUCGCCUUCAGGGUAGUUGUUUUCACAUGAAUCAUCUAGAGUUUUCACUGCCCGUCUUGGGCCAAAAUCAAAUGCAGACACUUCGACUCUUUCUCUGGUGCUCUUUGGUUCCACUGCGAGUGCCUGGUCAAAUGUGUUGGAGGCUCAAGUGUCCCUUGUUCCUGGCUAGUGUCUGGGUUGCGACGUGAUGCUAGAGGCAAACACUCUCGCCUUCUAUCUAUCUUCUCUCGGGGGAUCUGGAGUCUCCGAGUAAUUCAAGAAGGAUCCUUCCGGCCUAACUCUCAGACCCAUAGCUACCUUGCUUGACUGGGUUUGAAUCAUCCGUAGGUGCCAACUUGGAGCCUGUGUAUGUGUAAUUUCUGCACAAAACAACUAGUUUUUUUCCUCACUACAUAUACGCCACAAUAACCCUUCGGGGUAGGUUGACCACUCCAUUCCAUACAUUUUAGAUCCAUGGUUGAACUCCCUACCCUCUCAACUCUAAUUUUUUAUUCCUUGAGAUAUUUGUGCUGGAUUUGGGAGGAGUUAACACUAAAAUAGAUAUGCGCCCUUCCUCUCUCACUAACCAUUUUCUUGAUUUGCAAAAUUCCAAGAUUAUUACUUUGAUCUAGUUCCUCUUGGAGGUUGAAUAGUCCCAAGCGGUAAGAAUCAUCAGUGAGGAAUCAAUUUAUGAUUUACCCUGCUGCUUGUAAAGUAUUGAGGCCACCUAAAGGUCUACCACAAAUGAUUUAGCAUCGUUGUUAUGGUGGUGGCUCAAAGAUAGUAAGAUGCUAUCGAGUUUUCUUGAAUUUAAUGGAAAAUAGAAAGAUUUGAUGAUGAUCAAUCAUUCGGUUAAGGUGGAUCUCAACCAAUCAAUUUCUACUAUAUACGUACAACAUUACAAUGGUUAAACUAAUUAUUAGAAAUGCAGGAUAACCAAUAUGAAAUGCUAGAAAAACUAACGCGCUGAAAGGAUUCCCUCAGCGCCGAGGAGCCUUGGUGGCAUCGAGAAACUUUGGUGUCCUGACACCUAUCCAAACGGUGAUUAGCUCCCCUAUAAGGAAGUGAACAUCGGAAUACUUCUUUAUCUCCAUGUGUCUUCAGUUACUUCUUAUCUAAUCUUGUUUACUUUGGUCCCUUGACCUUGCAAGUAUCAUAUAGGUUGUGCUCACCUUAGUUUUAUUAGGCAAACUUUAUAUUUUGCAAUGACUAUUCUAAAGGAAAGAGAGCUAUAUUUUGUAGACACCUAUUCACCCCCCAAUUGCAUCCUACACUAAAAUUUACAUCUAAAAUCAUGAUUUGGUCUGGUUCAACAUGCUAAUUCUUUGGAUUUUGAAGUUUUACAUAUUAGCAUGACAUGAUAACACUUUGGAUGUAGUUCAACAUGUCUUUUUUCCAUCUAUGGUUGAACCAAAGGAAACCUCCUUCUCAAAAAAAGGUUGAACCACCACUUGACAAAGUGUGGUUGAGUUGUAGGCAUAGUUUAAAAAUGGAACGAACUGUCCGUUUGAAUGGAAAAGACUAAAACCGGCGGGCCCGUCUGUUCAUUAUGUUUCACAGACCGUCCCACCAUUAGAUGGGUGAAACCAGCUGAACCUCCCAGUUUUCUG
This 22690-nucleotide long non-coding RNA is filed under the name Triticum aestivum (bread wheat). RNAcentral describes it as "long non-coding RNA (TAES_LNC028239)". Lineage: Eukaryota; Viridiplantae; Streptophyta; Magnoliopsida; Poales; Poaceae. The record is from RNAcentral.